GCCUGACUAGCUCAUUCGGUAGAGCCUGAGACUCUUAACCUCGGGGUCAUGGGUUCAUGCCCCAUAUUGGGAG
Molecule: transfer RNA, 73 nt
Filed under: Mus musculus (house mouse)
Lineage: Eukaryota; Metazoa; Chordata; Mammalia; Rodentia; Muridae
Rfam family: tRNA
About the family: Transfer RNA (tRNA) molecules are approximately 80 nucleotides in length. Their secondary structure includes four short double-helical elements and three loops (D, anti-codon, and T loops). Further hydrogen bonds mediate the characteristic L-shaped molecular structure. tRNAs have two regions of fundamental functional importance: the anti-codon, which is responsible for specific mRNA codon recognition, and the 3' end, to which the tRNAs corresponding amino acid is attached (by aminoacyl-tRNA synthetases). tRNAs cope with the degeneracy of the genetic code in two manners: having more than one tRNA (with a specific anti-codon) for a particular amino acid; and 'wobble' base-pairing, i.e. permitting non-standard base-pairing at the 3rd anti-codon position.
Source: Rfam by way of RNAcentral